GACGAACGCUGGCGGCGUGCUUAACACAUGCAAGUCGAACGGAAAGGCCCUGCUUUUGUGGGGUGCUCGAGUGGCGAACGGGUAAGUAACACGUGAGUAACCUGCCCUUGACUUUGGGAUAACUUCAGGAAACUGGGGCUAAUACCGGAUAGGAGCUCCUGCUGCAUGGUGGGGGUUGGAAAGUUUCGGCGGUUGGGGAUGGACUCGCGGCUUAUCAGCUUGUUGGUGGGGUAGUGGCUUACCAAGGCUUUGACGGGUAGCCGGCCUGAGAGGGCGACCGGCCACAUUGGGACUGAGAUACGGCCCAGACUCCUACGGGAGGCAGCAGUGGAGAAUAUUGCACAAUGGGCGGAAGCCUGAUGCAGCAACGCCGCGUGCGGGAUGACGGCCUUCGGGUUGUAAACCGCUUUCGCCUGUGACGAAGCGUGAGUGACGGUAAUGGGUAAAGAAGCACCGGCUAACUACGUG
RNAcentral lists this ribosomal RNA (468 nucleotides) under uncultured bacterium. RNAcentral's name for it is "partial 16S ribosomal RNA". It matches the Rfam family "Bacterial small subunit ribosomal RNA", at positions 28 to 507 of the family's 1533-position model. The record is from RNAcentral.